UACGGAGGGUGCGAGCGUUAAUCGGAAUUACUGGGCGUAAAGCGCACGCAGGCGGUUUGUUAAGCUAGAUGUGAAAGCCCCGGGCUCAACCUGGGAUGGUCAUUUAGAACUGGCAGACUAGAGUCUUGGAGAGGGGAGUGGAAUUCCAGGUGUAGCGGUGAAAUGCGUAGAUAUCUGGAGGAACAUCAGUGGCGAAGGCGACUCCCUGGCCAAAGACUGACGCUCAUGAGCGAAAGUGUGGGUAGCGAACAGC
RNAcentral lists this ribosomal RNA (253 nucleotides) under uncultured bacterium. RNAcentral's name for it is "partial 16S ribosomal RNA". It matches the Rfam family "Bacterial small subunit ribosomal RNA", at positions 524 to 776 of the family's 1533-position model. The record is from RNAcentral.